GCCGGGUGCGGUGGCGCGCGCCUGUAAUCCAAGCUCCCGGGAGGCUGAGGCUGGAGGAUCGUUUGAGCUCAGGACCUCUGAGCUGCAGCGGACUAUGUCGAUCGGGUGUCCGCACUAAGUUCGGUAUCGAUAUGGUGCUCCUGGGGGAGCCCGGGACCACCAGGUCGUCUAAGGAGGGGUGCACCGGCCCAGGUCGGAGACGGAGCAGGUCAAAGCCCCCGUGCCGCUCAGUAGUGGGAUCGCGCCUGUGAAUAGACGCUGUAGUGCAGCCUGAGUAACACAGCGGGACCCAGUCUUUA
Sparus aurata (gilthead seabream) is the source of this 299-nucleotide unclassified non-coding RNA. It matches the Rfam family "Metazoan signal recognition particle RNA". Rfam says of the family: The signal recognition particle (SRP) is a universally conserved ribonucleoprotein. It is involved in the co-translational targeting of proteins to membranes. The eukaryotic SRP consists of a 300-nucleotide 7S RNA and six proteins: SRPs 72, 68, 54, 19, 14, and 9. The record is from Ensembl. NCBI's taxonomy places the organism in Eukaryota, Metazoa, Chordata, Actinopteri, Spariformes, Sparidae.